CCUAUAAAAGUUCCCCCGAUGAAUCUCACAAGACAGCUCAGCCACACCCUGCAGUGUUCAUCUAAUUAAAGGCAUAGUUUCACCAUAAGUUCGAUUACAUAUUUCCUUCUUGGAGGCAUCACUUCGGAGCAGGCAGCUUAGAAAUGCAUGAGGUGUGCGUCUGAUAUCCUAAAAUACCACAUACAUGUAGCACUAGUGGGCCGACGGGACAGCGCUAAACAAGCCGAAAUGCAUCCAUUUCAACCAUAACUCCUUGUUUUGUCGCUAGCCUAUACUGAUGUUGGCCCAUUAAGGAACCAGACGUUACAUGUCCCCGUCUGUUUUGAAAAGUCCCCCAGCAGGCAGCAGGAAACAAAGGAGGUCAAAAUCUGUUGACGGCGGCCACAGAUAUUGUACACCAACAGAGCAGAGACAACACAAACCAUUUUAUUUUCUCAGGUGCACAAGCUGGAUGGGAUGACGACCUCGAACUGCAUCACACCCGCUGCAAUCAACAUGCUAAACUAUACUAACAUAAGCCCAGCAAAAACUGGUUACUUCCUAGUGGUCACUGAUCACUCAGAUGCCAGACCUGUAACUACAAUCUUCUCUAGUUAUGACACGCAAGACCAAAAAAAAAUCUUCUCUGGCAAUGAACUCAAGAUUACAUUUGCGAUUGCACAUGACAAACUGCUGAGCAACGAGGAGGAUGACAUGAGUGGGCCAGCAAAACAAACCACAUAAUUGUGUGACCGUGCGGAAUUUAACGAGAUACGGUUUGCUCAAAGUUUUUGACCACAAAAUUAUCAUCCGAGCAUGUCAGAACAGCAACCCAUCCAACUGCUCAGCCUGGUUAUCACACGCCAUGCUCCGCUGCGAUAGGCCAGCCACUUGCAAGGAACCGGUUGCAAGUACCCCGAAAAUAAAAUGGUUCGUUCAGAUUUGUUUCAUACUUAGCUCACAUGCGCCUUGCUAUAGUCAUCAGCAGCUGCCGAUAGCGACGGUAUAGUAACAGGAAAUCCAGGUCCCAUCUGCAAGAAAGUUCCUCCGGUAAGAGACAUAAAAGAUAAGAGCAAUCCGAGGAGAUGCUGUCCGCCGUCAAAUCCCAGGGCUCAACCCUGGACAGGCAGUGGAAACUACCAAGCUGGAGUACGGUAUGUGAAAAUGAAAGAUGGAAGAAGUUGGGACAAUGCUCGUAAGGGUUACACUUGAACAUGCUUAGGUGCUAUAUCACAAGCAGCCUUACUUUCAGUUUACCCCGCUAACAAUGACAGAGCCACUAGCAAUCAUUGCAACUCUUGGUAAUACCAACAUACUGAUCAAGCUGUACAGACACAGUAUAGGUUUAACUGUAGCAUUUCACAAGACCUCUCAUGGGACGAUACAGAUCACUAAAGCCAGAAUCAUGUCACACAACUAAAAUACCAUCAGGGUCAACUUGAUGCAAACCAUUAGCAAAGUUAUGAAGUACCUAGCAGUAAUUCACCUUUCUCCGAGAGAGAGGAAGGAUCCACGCUCUGAAGGUAAUAGUGCAUUAGCUAGGGCUGCGAGUCCAGUACAAGCCUAAUGUUUCUAGCACAUUGCUCCAUAACUUUCACAAAAAUACUCCCUCUGAUCCAUAUUAAUUGUCGUUCAUUUAGUAUAAAGUUGUACUAAAUUAGCGAAAAUUAAUAUGGAUCGGAGGGAGUAGCAUAAUGGACAAAUACGCUCUACUAAUACUACCUACUUUCAAGAGAACAGAAAGAGUUUUGCGGAAUAAAGCAUGCAUAAUCUCAAAAUUGUUUGGCACAUGCACAAAUUAGUGAUAAUGCCUGUGGUACAACUAGUACCAAAAUGUCUGGCACUCAAUUUUUUCCUUUAUUUUCUUCAGUUUUGUUGGUCUUUCAGAUUAUGAAGCCAUGUGCCCUUUUUCAGUCUUCUGUAGCAUUUCAUAUCUUAUGUUGUAGAGUAUUUAUUAUUGUCACUCAAAUGUAAAUUCAGUAGAGCCCUCCCAUAAUGUUGUCAUAAAAAGGAAUAUAACAUAUAAGGUCGUAAGAAGAUGAAAACCAAAAAGGUCUUUAACAUGUUAUUAAUUUUGGUUGAAAUAUUAUGUGACACCCUAGAAAGUGAAACCAACGAUACAUCAGAUAGAAGUGGGAGAGAAAAGAGCUUACUGUGCUACUCAGCGUGAACUUCUUCACGUAUCCAACAUAUUUCGAAGCUGAAAGAAAGUGAGUGUUAACAGCUUGGAUUUAAUACCAUCAUCACAAUUAUCAGAGAAACAACAUGUAAAUAUCAAAACGUGCAUGGAGAGAAAUAUUAAUAUCUAAGAAUGAGCUAUUGGCUAAUUCACCAUCUGAAUUAAGUACUCAAAUUGAUUUCUUAAACAGGGCACUGGCGUUUCAUGUCAAGUGUCCAAAGUAUUGAAACUGACAGAGAAGGGUCAAACAAAAUCAGUCAGACUCAGAGUUCAUGCACAGACACGAAUUUUGGAACAUGGUUCCCGCUAUGAACAGUAAAAUCAGAAAAAUACUAGAAAAAAAAAUCUGAAUAUUUUUUGCAUCAUACAUGGCAGUGUUCUACUCGUGUAUGAAGUUUCACAAAAAAAAUGAAAUCCGUGGUAUUCUAGGCAAAAAAGACAUAAAUCGGUGCUAUAAAAAAGACACUGUUUGAAGUAAUUUGGAGAUCCGAAUUUCUUUUCUUUGCGAAGAGUGCCAUGGGUGUCAUUUCUGAGCGCAUGUGAGUAGACCAGUCGACCAAGUAUGAUACCCCAAAAUUUUAGAAUUAUUUGAUUUUUUUGGCUUUCUAUAUUCUUUUUCGUAAUGGGUGCGCGUGCAUCCAUGUUCACCCUUGUAUUUUCAUAAUAUAUACCACAAUAUAAAAUAGUUUGAAGUUCAUAAAUUUGUAGUUGAGUAAUAUUCACUAAUAAGGUACAAUGUUGAUACAAAAUAUUGGUAUAAGCAUGUUAGCAGCACCAGCCGCUCACUUACUUUUCUUUAGGCCCACCGGCUUAGCAAGUAAAAGUGCAUUUACGAAAGCACCAAUAUUUUCACGUAAACUCUCCUCAGAAAAAUUGAUCUGCAAAAAACAACACAAACUAUAAUGAGGAACGACACAGAAUUGCAAAGGAGUUGCUUGACUAUGUACAUAAUUAUAUUGAUAAAUUCACUAGGCAUAUGAGUAUUAAUAUUGAUGGCCAUGUCCCAUACCUUUCCAAGGCCAACAUGCACUAUAGCAGUUUUAUCUAUCUUAAAAUCAACACGACCUGAUUUUGCCGCUUUGACAGCACCAGAAACAUCAUUUGUCACAGACCCUAACUAUAAGAUUUAAAGUGUCAAGAAAGGCAGAAAACUUCAGUGUGGUUCCAAAAGAAAAUGAAAAGGGAAGAUGCCUACCUUAGGAUUUGGCAUCAAACCACGCGGACCCAAUAUUCUAGCGACCUGGAGAAUCAGUCAGGUUGUUAAUAAUAUGUCAAACAAGAAAUAACAUAAGUGUCCAAAAGCCCACACUGAUACCUUUGAAAGCCGAGGCAUGAACAUUGGGGUUGCUAUGCACUUGUCGAAACUUAGUUUGCCUCCUCCUAAUAUGUAUAAUCGUAGGUGGAAAAAAGGAAUUCCAAUCAACAAGAAUGUCAAAAUCGUAGAUGAAACUAAGGAAAACAUAGGAUGGGGUACUAGGGAGUGAGAGCAGCAAUUGGUGGUAUUCCAAGGAAAAUAAGUUUCAAAAACCAUAACAUACUAAAGGAAAUAAAGUACCUUUGCGAAUCUCCUCGAUCAGCUCGUCGCCACCAACAACAUCUGCUCCAGCUGCUCUAGCUUCCUCUGCUGAAGGCCCUUCCGCAAAUACUGCUACCCUAACAGUCUUAUAAAGAGAAGGACCUCAGUAUGAAGUACUCGCAGAAAACAAAAGCACCAUUUGGGAUGCAAGAACUCUUUUUAUUGUUCCUUACGAAACAGAGAUGAUAUAUACCCAAUGCCUGUAAAAUAGGCUGUGAACGAUAUUUAGAAAGGUACCUUGCCAGUGCCAUGCGGCAAAGUUAUGGCGCCACGGACCAUCUGUAUGCCAGGAAAAUUUUUGGUCAGUGUCAGAAGAUAAUUUUCUAUUAAUCUAACGUUCACAAGCAGAUUGAAAAAGAAAACAUGAGGCAACUUGGCUAUUCAACUGGAGAAGCAUUAGUUAAUCAUCAUUUCUUAGCAUGCACAAAAACUCUGGACAACAUUUCUUCUGUAUUUGAAUGUGUUAGAUAGGCCUCAACAGGUAUAGAAACAAGACUUCAGCAGCAUCCCUGUUAAAUCACAUAGCUUCUACACUGGUUUCAACACAUUGGGGAACUUUGGCUUCAUGGCAAAUACAAUGUCAUACACUAAUAUCAGCCGGGUUUUUUUUACAAGAAUCGACAAAUUAUCCCAAUCAGUUAGCUUCUUACAUCUGUGUUUUUGUUGUCAUAACUGGUUGAUCCAGUCAUGAAACCCUAGAUCAUGCCUCGUACAGGGAGGUGCUAGCCACAUGAAGGAGAAAGGGAGCACAAGUGCUGGAACAUUGUGCAUGCUGAAUCACGCAGCACGCAGGCUGUGCUGUUUGUGCGUGGAACCAGAAGAUGAGAAUAUAUGAUUGCAUGUGCUUCAAACCUUCAACUGAACCAUGCGCCCGUGUGUAUAAAAUUGCAUAAGUGUGUCAAUUAGGUUUAUCCGGUAAUUGCAAGAAAGUGGCGUACUACGGCACUGGAAUUGCUAGCCUUGCCAAAUGACUUGGCUCAGUAACAUGACACCUAGGUGACCGUUUUUAAAGGCACUAAGUUGACAGUCAAAUCGAACUUCAACAAUUAAGCAAGUAAUAAAAGAUCAACAAAACAAAUGCUCUGUGGGGUUGAUACAGAAAUCAAAUAACUGAUGCUUAUGCCACGAGAACCACAGCUUCAGCCAUUACCAGUGGCUUGACCAAAUGAACUACUGUGAAAGACCAGGAAAGAUCACAUACACUCAAGUGAAACCAGAGUAAACAGGUCUUCGCAGUGCAGCAGCAAAUGCAGCUGGCAAUAAGUGAUUCAGUAACAUGGCAGGUUAAAUUUCCAUAGAGUAGCAAUAGUGAGAAAAUAUGACAGGAUAAAAGGUGUGCUUCAAGGUACUUUUUAAAGAAGCAAAGCAGACCUGGUCACCACGACGUGGAUCAACACCUAACAUCACAUGAGCUUCCACUGUUUCAGUAAAAUUCCGCUUCUUCUCAUUUGCACUGGUCUGGAAGGAAACAGCAGAACAAAGUAAGACCAUUUGAUUAUUAUUUUCUUGACUAAACAAUUAGAUUAUCAAGUUAUGUGGAACAUAAAGUGUGUGAAACAUAAAGCAUUGCUAAAUUUUCCCACACUUGACAGCUUACAGGUCAUCUUAUAUGUCCCAUGAGAAUUGAACAUUGAACAAAGGUCUUGUAUGUAUAGAUAGAGAGCUAAUGUAGGGCCAUAACACCAUUCAACGGCUACUUUUUUUUCUCCCAUCCAGCAUCACAGUGAGGUUUAUGUUUUAUAAACCUACAAAACUUAAGUUAAAACCCAAUAGCAUUCAGAGCUAGGAAAAACACACAUUUAGUACGAUCAAGAUUUUCAUAAUUCGCGGCUGUUCAUUUUGCUUUUCCUCUUUUUUAUACCUCCUAAAAUGCGACAGGGUUUGAUUUUCAAGUUAUACAUGUUAAUAGAACAUCACCUCCCCCACAUAUUCUAUUUUUCAUAGAAUUAUUUGAUACCUCUUACACAUGGUUUCCAGAGGGUUAUUGCCAGGAGGGUAGUUUCCCACUGGACAUUUUCCCAAACAUCCUCCACAAAAUAAUCUCAGAAGUAACCACAGUGUUAGUACUCAUACAAUUAACAAGCAUACUCUUCUGAAAAUUACACUAUCCUCUCUUCAAGUAUAUUUUUUAUAGCUACUACAUGUAUACUACAGAAUUCUGUCACCAAUCACUGGCAGACAAAAUAAGCUUUCUUAGUAAUGUUGGAGAUCUUGCUUCAUAGGGGUGUUGCAAGACACCUAAACUGACAACUAAUUGCAACUUAUCAUGUUAGAAUUAAUAAUCUAUUACUCCCUCCGUUCGGAAUUACUUGUCGUAGAAAUGGAUGUAUCUAGACAUUUUUUAGUUCUAGAUACAUCCAUUUCUGUGACAAGUAAUUCGGAACGGAGGGAGUACCUAGCUGCUUGAGCAAGGACACGUUGAGGCUUUUCCUCACAGAAAUGAUUCAUCAUGAAUAGUUUGAUGUAUCAAAAAGUAUUGUCGAACGCAUGAAGGAACUUGGCUCGUUAACAGUUUUAGCUCAAAAAAUCCUACAAGACUGAAAAUGCUCCAAAGAUCCUGUAUUCAGAAUGCCCCUGGUCGUUUGUUGUAGUUUAUCAGAGAGGGGACACUUGGCCAGCAAGCAGAAAAGAAAAUGGAGCCAGCAAUGGCGCUGGAUCAGGACUAGGAAGAGCAGAUAGUAAGACUCAGAGAUCAGGUCCUGCCGGUCUCUGCCGCAGCUGAAGUAGUGCAAAGAGAAAGAUAACAAGGCAAGGGAGGCUUGGUCACCAUUUAGUGGUUAACUAAGGGUUCAGUAAGAUGGUACAAUACUAGUCUAGAUCAGUCAGUUCCAGGUCUUCUGCUAGGGUAUAAGUAGGCAUCAUUUUGCUUCAAUCAACAAGAAAAUCUCUCUUCCGGUAUGUUAUAGUUAACCUAAUCUAGCGCUCUGUUUUUUCCUACUGGUGCCAUUAACAUCUUGCGCCCAUCACGACGCCUAUGAACUUUCCCUACAACCUAAGGGCAAAAACAAGAAUGCAAUGAAUGUUUAUAUCAUCUACAUGCAAAGAUCAUAUGCCAGUUUGAGAAUGCUCAACUUAUUUUAAAGCUGUUGUGGAGAAACUAGAGUCUUGUUUGCAUACAGGGUGUUGAUGUUAACUGAUAUGGCAAAAUGAAACACAGUUCGGAAUUUCUUCUUUCUUCUGUUAGCAGAACAAGAUUUUAAACUACGUUUCUGUUGAUUAUAGCAACAUCAGUAAUCAGUUAGCCAAACAGGGUAAUAAGUCAAAUCAACUAAGGUAAAACAGAAUUGUUAUAACCAACCACAAUGCCAAAGGCAGCAUAAACAAAAUGGAUUUGCUAAUUCUCAUCUAGAUGAGAAUUAGCAAAGUCUCAUCUAACUCCUACACUAUUUGAUUAUCCAACCACUAGGAGUUACAUGAGACAUGGUUAUGUCCCAUCUACUCCCUCCGUUCGGAAUUACUCGUCCAAGAAAUGAAUGUAUCUAGAUGUAUUUUAGUUGUAGAUACAUCCAGUUUUGUGACAAGUAAUUCCGAACGGAGGGAGUAGAUGAGAGCUAGACACACUCUAAACAAAAAAGGAGCAUUCUUCCUGGUAUGAUAGAAUCCACUGUCAUAGCAACAACAACAAAAAACAUGCAUCAAAUUAGGCUUAAUUCCAUCCUAAAAUUUGUAGUCGCAUUCCAGUUAAACUAUGGCUAUUUCACCAACACUCCUUCCCAUUGACUAAACAAACAAAAUCAUGCUACUUCAACUGAGGUACUCUUCUCGAUGUGAAAACCUUACUGCUAUGAAACCAUGUCCAAAUUAUACAAAGCUAUGAUCCCCAAUUGCAACAUAACGAGAUUGUUUAUUUGCGAGUUUGAACCUCGAUGAACCGAAUCACUUUCAAGUGCAGACCUUGAUUUCGCGGAGUGCAUCGACGAGAUCAAUGGCGACCUUCUGCGGCCGCUUCGCAGCGGGUAUCAGCGAUGGGUACGGCACCGUCUCCUCCUCCACCGGCACGCCGAAGAUGGACCUCCUCGCCCGCUCAGCAUUCAUCUCAAUCCGCUCCGCCUCGCCGCGCAGAUCCUGCUCAUUCACCCCUUCCCCAGCCCCAUCUUCCGCUGGACGGUCUUCCGGGAGCGGCGCAACCCUGCUCGGGUACGACACCGGCGCGAUCGCGGGCCCCGCGUCCUUGACGAACCGCACCUCUUGCCGCGUAAACUGCCGCGGCGGAUUCGGCGGCUGCUGCUCAAAUCUCCUGGGAGGCGAAUCCUGCCACCCGGGGCUAGCGCUCCGGGCAUCCGGCGAGGAGGCCUCCUCGGGUGGGGCCUGCGGCUUCGGGGCGUAGGAGACGGGCUUGAUGGUCGGCGGUGGGGGGUCGCCGGAGUUGGAGGUGGAGAAGCGGAAGAGCGGGAGGAGGCGAUGGGGCUGCGGGUGGCAGCGGGAGUGGGAAAGGAGGAGGCGGAGGUGAGCCAUGCUGAGGGCGUGGCGGCGGCCGGCGGCGGGGGGUUUAAGUGAGGAAGCGAUGGGGGAUGGACUGAAAUGGGAGGGUUUGCACUGGACUGGGCUCGAUCUGGCGCACACUGCUAUAGCACGAGUCGGCCUACUAGGACGUUUUGGUUUAGGCCCAACUAGCACUGCCAUAGCACCAUCCAGUUCGGCACGAAAUUCUAAAAAAAAAAAAACAGUUCGGCACGUUCCCUUCUACUCCCUCGUUCCUAAAUAUUUUUCUUUUUAGAGAUUUCAAAUGAAUUACCACAUACGAAUGUAUAUAGAAAUAUUUUAUAGCGUAGAUUCACUCAUUUUGCUCUGUAUGUAGUCACUUGUUGAAAUAUCUAGAACGACAAAUAUUUAUAAACAAAGGGAGUAGUUAGGUUUUUUUCUUCCUCUCGGCGGCGCCACUGCCGCCGUUGAGACUCACCUUCUCUACCCUGUUUUCCUUGGAAGAAAAGGAUUAAGGCUGAACUAGGGCGAUCUAGAUCGCUACCUGGCCUUGGUCUCGUUCAUAUUGGGGAGCGGGAUGUCUAGGGUUCUUCCGCCCGGCAAUGUUGUUUUCUUGGGGCUAGAGAUCUCAAUGGAUACUGGCGCCUCUGGAUCGACACUCUAUACGGGAGAAGUGGAAGUGAUGCUUAGGGAUCUAGGCAUACAGGAGGAGGAACUCGACGAUGUCAUGGUGGAGGAUGAAUAUGCGAUCCCCGCUAAAGCAACUAGACGAAUGGUAUUGGUGCAAUAAUUUGCCUCCUUAUUUUUUUUGGAGAUUUUUGUCAUAAACGGUGUGGAGACUAAUAUGUUUGCUAGUGCACAUAGAGUGACAAGUCCCUGAAGUCAUGAGGAGUUUGAUACAAACUCUGAAGAUAAUUUCUUGCGUGGCAGCGAAGAUUAAAGUGACCCCCCAAAAAUUGUUGACAUGAAGCAAUUGAUUCGGUGCUUGUCCGAAGAAAUUGACUGCAGCCGAGAAGUUUAAAGGCGAAGCGAAGACGUAGUGUUUGUUUCGUAGUUCAUUUUUCUCUUUCUUGGGUAAUAGGUGUUGGGAAACGUAGCAUGCAAUUUCAAAAAAAAUCCUACGCUCGCGCAAGAUCUAUCUAGGAGAUGCAUAGCAACGAGAGGGGGAGAGCAUCUUCAUACCCUUGAAGAUCGCAAAGCGGAAGCGUUUAUCAACGCGGUUGAUGUAGUCAUACACCUUCACGAUCCGUGCCGAUUAAGUACCGAACGUACGGCACCUCCGUGUUCAGCACACGUUCAGCUCGAUGACGUCCUCGCUUUCUUGAUCCAGCAAGACGGGCGAAGUAGUAGAUGAGUUCCGGUAGCACGACGGCGUGGUGACGGUGUUGGUGAAGAACAAUCUCCACAGGGCUUCGCCAAGCACAACGAAAACUAUGACGGAGGAUAAACUAGAGGGGACGGGGUUGCCGGCACACGGCUUGGUGAUUCUUGAUGUGUCUUUGGUGCUAGCCAUGCCCCUCUAUUUAUAUGUUGAGCCUUGCGGUCGAAACUAGGAGUAAAAGCCUCAACAAAGUCAGUUUCACCCGAAAGGGUGAGUCCUUCUCGGACUUCCAGGACCAGACGCCACGGUCCUUGGCGUCUGGCCCGGACGCCAUGGGCCUCGGCGUCUGGCCCAGGGCCAAACGCUAGGGUCUCCAGCGUUUGGCCCCUGGCCUCCGCAAAACUCCUUUUGCACCGACCUAAAGCCUCGUCGGCUUCACCCCUUGGCCGAACCAUAUCAUCCUAUAUAUCAAUCUUUACCUCCAGACCAUUCCAGAGCUCCUCGUCAUGUCCGUGAUCUCAUCCGGGACUCCGAACAACAUUCGGUCACCAACAUACAUAACUCAUAUAGUACUAUAUCGUCAACGAACGUUUAAGCGUGCGGACCCUACGGGUUCGAGAACUAUGUAGACAUGGCCGAGACACUUCUCCGGUUAAUAACCAAUAGCGGAAUCUGGAUGCCCAUAUUGGUUCCUACAUAUUCUACGAAGAUCUUUAUCGGUCAAACCUUAUGACAACAUACGUAAUUCCCUUUGUCAUCGGUAUGUUACUUGCCCGAGAUUCGAUCGUCGGUAUCAUCAUACCUAGUUCAAUCUCGUUACCGGCAAGUCUCUUUACUCGUUCCGUAGUGCAUCAUCCCGUAACUAACUCAUUAGUCACAUUGCUUGCAAGGCUUAUAGUGAUGUGCACUACAGAGAGGGCCCAGAGAUACCUCUCCGAUACUCGGAGUGACAAAUCCUAAUCUCGAUCUAUGCCAACACAACAAACACCUUCGGAGAUACCUGUAGAGCAUCUUUAUAAUCACCCAGUUACGUUGUGACGUUUGAUAGCACACAAGGUAUUCCUCUGGUAUCCGGGAGUUGCGUAAUCUCAUAAUCAAAGGAAUAUGUAUAUGCCAUGAAGAAAGCAAUAACAAUAAAACUUAACGAUCAUUAUGCUAAGCUAACGGAUGGGUCUUGUCCAUCACAUCAUUCUCCUAAUGAUGAGAUCCCAUUAAUCAAAUGACAACACAUGUCUAUGGUUAGGAAACUUAACCAUCUUUGAUCAACGAGCUAGUCUAGUAGAGGCUUACUAGGGACACGGUGUUUUGUCUACGUAUCCACACAUGUAUCAAGUUUCCGGUUGAUACAUUUCUAGCAUGGAUAAUAAACAUUUAUCAUGAUAUAAGGAAAUAUAAAAUAACAACUUUAUUAUUGCCUCUAGGGCAUAUUUCCUUCAAUAGGACCACCAUACUAUUAAGAGGGGUAUAGUGUUAAGCUUACGAUUAUCUGAUGCUAAACCUGAAUCCUCUGUGAGACGAGGGAAAUCUCUUUGUGUUCCGAAUAAGUCCUUGUCGGCAAGAGACGAAGUUCUUCUUCGUUGCGAGAGAUUUUAUUCAGACCGAGGAGUUAGCAUUUCUCGCUCCGCAAGUAAUGUUACCGUUGUGCUAAAAAAUCCGACCAUUAGAAGGUUCAUAAGGGAGAGCUCUAUAAGUUAAGCAUUACGGGCGUCCUCCAACGAUGUAUACCCGAAGACGAAGGAAGACUAUUACUUCAGGAAAUACACUCUGGCAUGAGCGGACAUCAAGUCGUUGCUCGAACCUUGGUCAGCAAGGCUUCCCUAGCUGGUUUUUAUUGGCCAACUGUGGGCAGCGACGCCUCUGCAUUAGUACAGCAUUGUCCAGGCUGUCAAGUGUUCGCCAAACAAAGCCACGUGCCCCCCGCAGUCCCCCACACUAUCACUAUAACUUGGGCUUUUGUAGUCUCGGGGCUAGAUAUGGUCGGUCCACUCAAGGGCGGAACAAGAAAAAUUAAAUAUCUACUUGUCAUGGUGGACAAGUUCACUAAGUGGAUCGAAGCAAAGCCAGUUACCUCGGCCUCCCAGUAAUUGAGUUCAUCUCAGGGGUAGUGCACCGCUACGGUAUCCCGAACAGUCUGAUCACAGACAACGGGACAAACUCUACGGCCAAAGAGGUCAAAGCAUGGUGUACAAAAAUGGGUAUCAAGCUCGACUACGCGUCUGUAUAUCACCUGCAGUCAAACGGGCAAAUGAAACGCGCCAAUGGACUAAUUCUCAAUGGCAUCAAGCCUAGGCUAGUACGCUCCCUUAAAGAAGCCAACUGCAAAUGGGUAGAAGAACUUGAUUCCCUCCUUUGGGGUUUGCGCACCACACUGAACAGAUCCACUGGGUAUACCCCAUUUUUCAUGGUGUACAUCGCCGAGGCAGUACUCCCUUGCGACAUCAUACACGACGCACCUCGGGUACGCAUGUAUGAAGAGAGCAAGGCCGAGUUAGAUCGGUAGGACGCCUUGGACGCCCUAGAGGAGGAGCACAAUGUUGCUCGGGCACGAUCUGCCAUCUACCAACAACAAGCCCGACGCUGUCAUAGUCAGGAGGUUCGCGCAAAGGACUUCAAUGUAGGAGACCUAGUCAUGAGGCUUCAUUCGGAGAAGCAGAAGCACAAACUCUCCCCUAAAUGGGACGGGCCAUUUAUCAUUGACCAGGUCCUCAUUGGAGGCACCUACCGAAUUUGAGAUCCAGUGGAUGGGCGUCUAGAGCCCAACCCCUGGAAUGUGGUGCUACUCCAAUGUUUCUACGAUUGAAGCCCCAAACACUGCUCAUCUAUGUACAUACACCACUUUACCUUUCUCUUGUUUUAUGACACCUCGGGGACAUCUUUUGAAUGACCUCGAGAGCAAAAACCAGUAUGGCAUGUUCUUUUCAAAAUAUGUGUCAUUCCACCUCUUACACACUAUUGUCUUUCAAGCCAAAAUAUGCAUCGGUUGGACUUAAAAUUUUGCCAAGCUGGAUUUCCCGGCUCCUGUGCUUGCCCCUUAUGUUCCCGAUCAUUCGCCUAAGGGGCAAAGGGAGCACCGUUGUGAUUGUUACUCCCGAGUCAGCCGACGUAGUACCUCAGACGGAGAAAGCCGAAAGCUAGCGCGCUUAAAUGUGCAAAUCAGCCGGCCAUGACAUAGGAAUAAAGUGGAGGGGGUCUUUCAAACCCCAACCAGGGGCUUUACCCCAGAGGUCAUCCGUCUUCAGACUCAUGUGCUUGACACAACUACCCGAGGAAAGGAACUGUUGGAAGAACUAUUUUUCUUUGAAGAUGUUUCUUAUGUUAAAAGCAAUAUAACAUAACUCUCCGCCUCACUCUUGUCCUUCAAACCAUAUAGCCGGAUUGCCUCGUCACCCGAAGCACCUAGUCUGAUUACUUCGGCUAGUAGUAAGGGACACUCCUCGGCCGUUGGCCGAGGAGGUAGAAGUCGAUGGCUGGUUGACAGAGUUUAGGUGCGCAGUUUGAAUAAUAACAUAAAGUACUUUGAUACAUAGUCAUACAUAAUCAUUUAAUUACACCCGGUCUAGCCCAUCUAUUAAGGUGUCUAGGGCGCAGUCCUUCUGCGAGAACCAAGCAGCGGGCAUGACACUCUCGUAUGCGAGACUAGUCACUGGUGCGCGUCGGUCCUAAACAAACGGUUUUUUACCCCUUUCCGCGACGGCAUUUGAAACCAUCGCCAAGUGAGUGUGGGCGAUAGGGGGGUCCUUCCCACACGACCCAGAAACCGUUGGGUAUAUGCCCUCCUGGCACACACGUUCGGCAAAAUGAGGUCGUGUGCGACCGGCGAGCACUCAAAUACGGAAAUACAAUCAAUAGAGCUAAAAAAUACAAUUAUACGACGAAAUUGUUUCUGGUCGCAACUCGCAAGUACAUCCCACAAAGUCAGUCCCCGCUAAACGUUUCCGUUCGUAUGCAAAUCCCACACAGUCGCUUCAAGGAAAACAUUUCCAUUCACAGGUACAUCACACACAAUUUUUCCCGUUAAAUCGUUUGCGUUAUUGAAUGUAGCACACACGGUCCGUAGAAGAAACUGUGUGGCAAAGGCUGUCCAUGACACACAGUUUUUAUGUGGUAAAUGUUUGCGUAAGGUGGCCUAACGCAAACAGUUUUUAAGAGAAAAUCGUGUGUGAUUGUUCAUUGAUCCAACACAGUUUAUUCCUAGAAACUGUGUGCAUUGCCUGAGGUCAUCGUACAUAGUAUUUUUUCAACAACCGUUUGCAAUAUCAAAACCCAAUUAGCAGGCUAAUUGCCAUAUUAUUAAUAAUCCAUUUAUUAAUCUAAUUGACAUUCAUAUUAAGCACACAAUAUAUUUCAUUUUCAUAUUAAGGAAGCAGAAUUUCAUAAUUGAAAUAUAUCAGAGUACAACAUGAUAUAGCUUCAGCACUCAGCUACCCCAUUACACAACUGCACCAGCAGCAAGUUCCACAUGCAACAUGUAGAACCUUUCGAAAUUAGCAUCAUAGACGGUAUAUAGACUGAUGCAUCUCAUCUGGAAAACUGCUGAAGCGGAAAGUGAAUAUUGAGCCUUCAUUCAUGUUGAAGGUCUUUGCAACUUUAGGCCAGUGCCUAUGGAUGAUUGACCGUCCGUCCUUCGACCUCUUCAGGAACACUUCAAUAUUGAACCGUGUGUGUUGUAUGAAAACCUUCCUCGCCUCCUGACCAUAGAGGUGGUUUGAGAGGUAAUCAUCAGUGAACUGCUUUGGAAAGGCCUGAAAAUAAGGAUGUGCAUAAAUAUUUUCUCUAUAUUGGAAAUGGGGAAAAGGAAUAAAAAAGGCAAGGUAUAAUAGUUAGUACCAUCUUGUAGUGAACUGAUGUCUUCUUCAUUGUGCAGACAAAGAUCUUGUUGUUUUUUGUCGCUAAUUUCUUUAUCCUAAUGAUCUUUCUAAGUUUCUUGAUUUGAUUGAUAUUCAUGGACAACUCAUUUCCCCAUAUGCAAAAAAGGGUCAAACAGUGGGUCAAAACCUCUGACAGCAGGACCUAUAUGUGCAAGACCAAAUUGUUAAAAACCAAAAUAUUAGAAUGGUUCCUGCAAUUGCACAAUAAUGUGCUAUUAGACAACGGACCAUGCACGUGCUAACCUCGAUUGUAAACCUCAGUGCUUCCCAUUGUUUCCCUGCAACACAUAUAAGGUAGUUAGUCAUCAGGUUAAGUAAGGGUUCGCAUGCUAUCAGUAAAAUAUGUUGAUGAAAAAUAAGCACAUUGCAGAUUCAUCAGAUUAAUUGAAGCCAAACGGAAAACCCAUUUACCCAAACCAAGCAUGAUUAAGAACUAGGAAAUAUAGUACUUGUAUAUGUUUCUCAUGUAUUAAGUGCAGCCAAAUUCGAUUUAUUCCUCACAUGCACAACAAUACAAAAUUCUACCCACGACAAUUGGACAUCGCACUGCAGAAUUGAACCAAGCAGUUAACUAAACACUGCAACAAAUGAACCAAACAUUAACUGAGCACCACAUUGCACAAUAUAACAUUGAACCAAGAAGUUAACUAAACACCACAACAAAUGAACCAAACAUUAACUGAGCACCACAUUGCACAAUAUAACAUACUCCUUAUAGAAGAUCAGAGAGUUAACCAAACAGUUAACUACAGCCAAUUGUAGCAAUUGUAUUUGUUUCUCAUGUAUUUACUACAGCCAAAUUCAAUUUAUUCCUCACAUGGUAUACAAUAACAGAAUGCACCCACAAUUUUGUAAAGAUAAAUUCGAUUUAUUUCUCACAUGGAAGACAAUACAAAAUUGCAGCCUGAAGAAUUGAACAUCACAUUUGCAGAAUUGAACCAAACAGUAACUGAAGAUGACAACUAAUUAACAAAACAGUUAAUAAGUGAGCACCACACUGCACGACAUAUAGAACAUAUACACUAGAGCAACAGAUUGCAUGGUGAAAUUAGAUAGCACAAUUCACUAGAUUUUGUGAAGGAAAGGCAGGAGCAGCACACGCAACGGGUAAACCGAGCAUGCUUAACCGGUGUAGCUAGCAAUUGGCAAGGUGCUCUUCCAAGAUCUGGGGGUCGGCACAAAUGGCAGCCAUCGCGACCUCAUCCGCGCGUGCGGCCGCGAUUUGCUUCUCCGCUGCCAAAUGCUCCUUGAGGUCCUGGCUAUACUGCAUGCACCAUGGCUUAGGCCGGCGCUUAUUUGGUGGAGGGGUCGGUGAUUUGGGUGGAAGGUGUCACGCUCGCGACAGAGGUCGGGGCAUGUGGGAUGUGGAAUUAGGAGGAGGAUGGGGGUCGGGUGUGGAUUACCUGCUUGGAUAGAGGAGGCUGAGCAGUGUAAGGGAGGGUCGCCGGCGAGGAGGCGGCGGCGCUGCAAGCAAGGAGUGAAGGUUUCAACUUGGAAAGGAAGGCGGAAAGAGGGUAAAUGUGGCUUUUGGUAAGGGGGAGGGGCGGGGAGGUAUAUAUUUCCGCGGAAGCCGAAAAUUUGGAAUCGCUUCAGCCAAAAAACUGGCGCGCAAAGUGUCAUCAGACACGGUCCCUUAUUCAGAACUGUGUACGAUAUGUGGACAUCACAAACGAUUCAGAUAUCUUAACCCGUGUGUGAUGAGUUUGAACGUCAAAAGUUUUGGUUCGAAUUUCCAUGGUUACAGUGGUCAUCCACAUCAUUGCAUAAUUUGGGUACACAAAGGAGACUACAACACACCCACAUUUCUUAAUCGAGCAAGUUCAGCAAUUAAAUAGAGCUAGCUGACCUAAACAUUACUCUAACAAAUUAAAGACCGGCGCUCUUAAUUAAAAAAAUAUAGAGUACUACUACGGCUGGUGCUCGUCGAUCUCCGCCGCCGCCUCCAUGUCCAGCUCGCGCCCGACGGUCUCCUGGGGAAGGGGCUCCAUGGCAUCCAUCGCACCAUACUCGGCAAGCAUCUCGCCAUCCGCGUCUGCCAUCUCUUUGGAAAAGGCCGCCAUGAGCUGGGCGUGGGUGGACGCGAUCUGGGCUUGGACGGGCUCCGUUGUCGCAAGGUAUGCGGCGGAGGAACGGACGGCUGCUCGAACGCUCUCGGCGAUUGCCAGCUCUUCGGCCGUGGGUUGCCGACCGUUGUCGGAGAAACUUCGUUCGAUUUGUGUGGUGACCACCAGGAGCUGGGUGUGGGCAGCCUCGGCAUGGUCGUGGGCGGCCUUCAUCAGGGCUAAGGUCGCCGCUGCGGAACGGACAGCUGCUGUGCCGCUCUCGCCAGUUGCUAUCCCGAGGCAGAUGUUGCUGCCGCCACCUGAGAAGCAACAGCGGCCGUUUGGGCUGCCUUUGCCGCCCGGUCGCAAAUUGCAGCCGCGCUCAUGCACCUUGUUAGCACGCGCAUGGCGGCUGCGGCCGCGCUCUCGCUGGAGUGGGCCACCGAAGUUGCCCUCACGACGCGUGUCAUGGAAUUGUCACGGCAGAUGUCCUAGUGAAAGGACUUAAUCGUGGAUCCAUCGCAACUAGGAAGCUUAAAGGGGUUAAAAUGGGACAAAGGACACGAGGGUUUAUACUG
This 16965-nucleotide long non-coding RNA is filed under the name Triticum aestivum (bread wheat). Its description in RNAcentral is "long non-coding RNA (TAES_LNC018208)". The stretch from base 6018 to 6132 matches the Rfam family "MIR1120/MIR1122 microRNA precursor family". The record is from RNAcentral. Lineage: Eukaryota; Viridiplantae; Streptophyta; Magnoliopsida; Poales; Poaceae.